GGAAGGCAGCCGGAUACGGCUCGCCGGGCCGGUUUGCUACACCGUGCGACCCCUCGGGGUCAUGAGGGUUCGACUCCCUCGCCUUCCGC
RNAcentral lists this transfer RNA (89 nucleotides) under Novipirellula aureliae. RNAcentral describes it as "Planctomycetes bacterium Q31b tRNA-Ser". The record is from RNAcentral. Lineage: Bacteria; Pseudomonadati; Planctomycetota; Planctomycetia; Pirellulales; Pirellulaceae.